AUUGAACGCUGGCGGCAUGCCUUACACAUGCAAGUCGAACGGUAACAGGUCUUCGGAUGCUGACGAGUGGCGAACGGGUGAGUAAUACAUCGGAACGUGCCUAGUAGUGGGGGAUAACUACUCGAAAGAGUGGCUAAUACCGCAUGAGAUCUACGGAUGAAAGCAGGGGAUCGCAAGACCUUGUGCUACUAGAGCGGCCGAUGGCAGAUUAGGUAGUUGGUGGGAUAAAAGCUUACCAAGCCGACGAUCUGUAGCUGGUCUGAGAGGACGAUCAGCCAAACUGGGACUGAGACACGGCCCAGACUCCUACGGGAGGCAGCAGUGGGGAAUUUUGGACAAUGGGCGAAAGCCUGAUCCAGCAAUGCCGCGUGCAGGAUGAAGGCCUUCGGGUUGUAAACUGCUUUUGUACGGAACGAAAAGCCCCGGGUUAAUACCCUGGGGUCAUGACGGUACCGUAAGAAUAAGCACCGGCUAACUACGUGCCAGCAGCAGCCGCCG
RNAcentral lists this ribosomal RNA (498 nucleotides) under uncultured bacterium. RNAcentral's name for it is "partial 16S ribosomal RNA". It matches the Rfam family "Bacterial small subunit ribosomal RNA", at positions 30 to 523 of the family's 1533-position model. The record is from RNAcentral.